RNAcentral lists this ribosomal RNA (253 nucleotides) under uncultured bacterium. RNAcentral's name for it is "partial 16S ribosomal RNA". It matches the Rfam family "Bacterial small subunit ribosomal RNA", at positions 524 to 776 of the family's 1533-position model. The record is from RNAcentral.
UACAGAGGGUGCAAGCGUUGUUCGGAUUUAUUGGGCGUAAAGCGCGUGUAGGCGGUUUCUUAAGUCUGAUGUGAAAGCCCGGGGCUCAACUCCGGAAUUGCCUUUAAGACUGCAUCGCUAGAAUUGUGGAGAGGUAAGUGGAAUUCCGAGUGUAGAGGUGAAAUUCGUAGAUAUUCGGAAGAACACCAGUGGCGAAGGCGACUUACUGGACACAUAUUGACGCUGAGGUGCGAAAGCGUGGGGAGCAAACAGG